Long non-coding RNA from Astatotilapia calliptera (eastern happy), 2772 nucleotides. The record is from Ensembl. NCBI's taxonomy places the organism in Eukaryota, Metazoa, Chordata, Actinopteri, Cichliformes, Cichlidae.
CCACACCCCGUCAAAGUCUCUCUUUAAUCUCUGCUCUCACCACCUCCUCGGAGGGCUUCAGCGAGCACUUUCUGCAUCACAUGUCAUGCAUCACCCCCCUGCUGUCUCUCUCUCUCACUUUUUUUCUUCUUCUUCUUUUUCUACGCACUCGUUCUAACACACCCUAAAUGACACAAGUCAGCCUCUUUGCCAUUCUUCGCUCUCCAGCAACACAAACAGUAUCUCUCACUCACAACUUUGGUAAGUUUUUCGGGUUUUUUAAAAAAAAUGUCUUUCCUGUUUUUCUCUUAAGCUCAUUUUUGCUGCGCACAUCUUUUACACUGAAACUGCUUUGUCUGCUUUUCCCCUGUUGUGAUUUUUAAUACUUUGGAUUUUGAAGUACUUGAAGCAUUUAUUUAAUCUAUGCUAAGCUACAUUUGAGGUACAAUUACAGCACCUCAGGCAAUAAUUUGCAACUUAGAUCAGUUAUUCUGAUCCAUUUUGGCUUUAAUUGCUCUUUGUAAGUGGACCUGCUUUAGUUCUUGAUUAAUUUUGCAAUAGUUGAUGUCGGCUCUCGGUCUGAUGAACUCCGAGUGAAAAAGUUUCCACCCAUGGCGGGCUGACUGAUGCUGUUCAGUUAUCAUUUUGACAGGAAACCAGCAAACGCUCUGAGCGGUCUGCAAAGCUUCCUGUCAUCCUAGUGAACACAAUUUAGAGUUUAACAAGGGCAGACUUCCUGUAACAUCUCCAGUAUCCUGAGUAUAAAAUUCACCAAUGGAUCUCCUGAUGACAAGUUCACAGCUGCUUUGAAAGCACCAGGAGUUUGUGACUGUAAAGUUCAGCCUGUAACUGAGACUCCAAACCAUCCAGGAAUUUUUUUUCUUUAAUUCAACUGUAACUUCUUCCUAAGGAGGGAUGGGGGAUUCUGAACAAAACAGCACUCCAUUGGUGCUGGGCCUUUUGUUCAUCCUAUUAUUCCUCCUUGUUGUGCUCUUUGUACUGUACAAGAAGCUGAACAGGGAGGCUGAAGGGGAAUAUACAGUCCGACGCAUCGUCUACAAGGAAGGAGGUCUCAGGGACCAGGCGAGAAGUGCAGCGUUAGCUGUGGGGGCACGUCUUGGGGUCCAGCUGUGGCCUGGAAGUGAUGAAGAAGAGGAAGGGGAGGAAAUGCAGGAAGUCCAAGAUGAAGAAGAACAGGUGGAUAGUGGUGGUAGUCAGGAGAGUGACACAGAGGGAGAUGAAGAGGAGGAGGACAACGACACUGGUAAUGCUAAGGAGAAAGAAAGUAAUACUUCAAAUGAUGACUCAAGUAUUGGGAGUUCAGAGGCAGGAGAGCAAACCAAACUUAACGAUGAGUCUGAGCCAGAGGGAGAGACGGAAGAUAAAAGUGAAGAAAAGGAGGAGAAAGUGGGAGAAGAGCAGAGUAAAGCUGAGGCAAGUGGAGGGCCGGGAUUGCUGAUAGAUCUAAAGCAGUUCUCUGGAAGUGCGAUCUGGUCUGAAGAAGGUGGUGAGGGUAAAGGUGACGUGACGGCGUUGUGAGAAUCAGAAAUAAUGAAUAAGACUGAGGAAACUGCCAAAUCAGGAUUUCACAAACAUCAGCUUCAUCCCCUAAAUGUCUCCCCACUGCAAAUUCCUUCUAUUAGUCUAAAAAAAUAAAAUAAAAUAAAAGAUACAUGCACCCACCCAUUAAACCCAAAGAGCUUUAAUCUUUCAUGACCUCACUGACCUUGCUUUCCUCUGGUCAAAUUUUUUUGAUGAAUAAAGCAGUUAUAUAAACAUACAGGGGUACUCUAGAUUGUAACUGUAAAGUGUAAAAAAAAAAACCAAUACUUGUCUAUACUUUUUUGCUUUAAAUGUUUAUUUUAAUCUACAUAAGAAAUUGAAAACUGGAAACUUUUUUUAGUGUUUUCUGCUCUGUUUUUUGUUGUUCUUUAUGCCGUUUGUAGAAAUAAAAAAAGAGUAGUAAUUAAAUAUAGUGAGAACAAAAUAAUGCGUUAUUUGUUUUAUUGAAAACAAGUGAAUGUAACCGAUCAAACUUUAAGUCAACAUACAUUUUAUAUGGUGUGUAAAUGGUUGAAAAUUUAAUAAACCACAUACUGAAAAUACGAAUGAAUUGUAUACUUUAAAAAUAUAUAAAACAUGCAGUAAUGCUAUCAGCGGAAGCAUGUGUACAUAACGUGAUCAUAGCAUGACGAAGCUAAAAUUCUUCCGUGUUUUACGUUUUUAGGGUUUUAGAGAAAAAACAUGCUAGCGGUACGCCACAAGUUUCCUGUUGUAUGCAUUAACCGGAGCAAAUACAUAUGAAUAACAAUAUAACUUUCAAUAUUAAAGUCGUAAUUACACCAAAAUCAGCCACAAUAGCGGUACAGCCAUGAGUUACAGAUAAAUCCUCUCCUUGUUGAUCAUUCAGCCAAUGGGGAUGUAGCUCAGUGGUAGAGCGCAUGCUUCGCAUGUAUGAGGUCCCGGGUUCAAUCCCCGGCAUCUCCAAAGAUUUUUUUUUCAACUUUUAUUUCCGUAUAAGUUGUAAAUGUUAUAAAGUGCAAUAUUGUCACAGAAGUCACAGAAGAAGAGGUAAAAAAUUUUAAAGCAAUACGGCAUAACUAUAUAGCAAACACCGUCACCUCAAUGUGUGCGCGAGGUGAGGUAGGUUUGCGAUUGGCCCAAAGCAGCCCGUGCUCGAAUGUGAUUGGACGGUGGAUGCCUUGGAGGCGUGGGGGUGUUCAUACACGCGAGCCUCAAAGAUUUAUUUUCACCCGUCCAGUACCUGAUAGUUAAGUGAGAGCUGGUCGAUGG